RNAcentral lists this long non-coding RNA (1688 nucleotides) under Microcebus murinus (gray mouse lemur). RNAcentral's name for it is "lncRNA (ENSMICG00000048535.1)". The record is from RNAcentral. Lineage: Eukaryota; Metazoa; Chordata; Mammalia; Primates; Cheirogaleidae.
GCCUCCUUCAGGGACAUCGGGCUGAGGGCUCUAUAAAAGCCCAGGCAGGUGCGAGGUGAGCACACUCCAGCGCCCGCGCAGCCGCCCUGCCUCCUGCCCUCCUGGCCAGCACCAUGCUCAGCAAGGCCGUGAUCUUCGCUGCCCUGUGUGCCCUGGCUGUGACUCUUCCCUCAGCACCUCCUGAAAUAACCGGUGAGGCAGUGGAAUCAAAUGCGGACGCGGACUCAACCACACAGCAGGCCAGGAAUGCCCGCCCAUUCCCUGACGGGGACGUAGCCUUGGGGGAAGGAGUCACCGUGGCCGCAGGUAAGGAUUCCUGCCUUCAGACAUGCGGACAUUUCUCCCUGCCUCCCUUUCCUUGCUUACAUCUCAUUGCUUAGGAACGUCCUGUGGUGAUUUAUACAUUCAGGGAUACUUUGGCUGCCUUGUUCUUUGAGGUGGAGUAAACUUUUGCCAAAAGUUCUUUGAAACUUGAGGUAGAUUUAAGAAUUUUCCCAGAGCAUUUUCAAGAAUGAAAUCUGAAUACUCACAUGGCUCCAGCAUGAGGUCUGCCCCGACCUGGGUUCCGGGACCAACCUCUGGGCUUCUCUAAAGAGGACAAGUUCCUUGGUGUCUCCACGGGGUUGCGGGAUGUGAUGACAAGAAUGGGGUGAAUAACUUCCUUUUCUUUUUCAGCUGAGGACAGUACCAUUCUGGCACGGAGCUUCAGGAGAGCAGAUUUGGGUAAGUGUAAAAUGUAAAGUGAAUUUAGACUGAACAGGAGAAAAAGGAUUUAAAAGCUUCAUGGACUGAGUAGUGGUUUUCUCUCUGCCCACUGCCUAUGUCAAGCGUCCAAGUUGUUUUUUGUUUUUCUGUCUAUCAACUAAGGAGUCUACAGAUUUCAGUGCUUUCUUCUCUCAUAAACAAACCUCAAUAGUUUGAGGAAAGCCACAGAUUUUGCUGAAAUUAAGCCUUGAAUCUUGUCUACAAAAGUAAAUUUCUGAUCAUGUCUAUAAAUAAUGACAAUAUUCCAGCAUUACUCUUAAGUGUAUUGGAGAAUUGUGGUAGUAGUCGGAUAAACCUAGACAUUGUAUUUUACUGGAGGUUUAAAGGGCCUAUUCGGAUAGGAAUAGCUGGUGAGCCUGAAUUCUUGCUCCGCCUCUAGUUGUCUGCUUUGCAGGGUACACCUCCCCUGCAGAAUGGUGCUCGCCCUCAGAAUUUGUAGUGUUGCAGCUUCCCAGCCUGCAGUAAAAGGUCAACGUUAGCUAUGCCCAUCCUUCCUUUACACCCCAUGGGGUGUCAGGAAAAUCCUCAUGUUUGACUGAAGAGCAAGAGGCAGCCUUGUGGUCCAGACCCCUCUGUCAUUUCUGCUAGAGGACAGGCCCCACCUCUUUCCACGCCUGCCUUUCGAGAGCAGGUUUCCGACUGUGGCAAUGACCGACACACUGAGAGUCUCCGGUUUGUAAUAGGAAGCAUGAUUUCCCUGGUGCAUUUGCCUUUUAAAUUAAGAGAUUUAUUCUCUCAUUUCUUGGAGCUGUCACUGGUGGUAACUCUGAAGGGGCCCUGAGUGGAGCAACAGGUAAGGCCACAAAUUUCGAAUUUUGUAUUUAUUCUGGUCAUUGAGUGAUUGUUCUUGGGAGGGAAUCCAGGACAGACUGAAGAAGUGGUCUCUGGUACUCUGUCCCCAUUUGUAGCCUUCUCACCUGGCA